This 3109-nucleotide ribosomal RNA is filed under the name Salmonella enterica subsp. enterica. RNAcentral's name for it is "23S ribosomal RNA". It matches the Rfam family "Bacterial large subunit ribosomal RNA". The record is from RNAcentral. Lineage: Bacteria; Pseudomonadati; Pseudomonadota; Gammaproteobacteria; Enterobacterales; Enterobacteriaceae.
GGGUUGUGAGGUUAAGCGACUAAGCGUACACGGUGGAUGCCCUGGCAGUCAGAGGCGAUGAAGGGCGUGCUAAUCUGCGAUAAGCGCCGGUAAGGUGAUAUGAACCGUUAUAACCGGCGAUACCCGAAUGGGGAAACCCAGUGUGACUCGUCACACUAUCAUUAACUGAAUCCAUAGGUUAAUGAGGCGAACCGGGGGAACUGAAACAUCUAAGUACCCCGAGGAAAAGAAAUCAACCGAGAUUCCCCCAGUAGCGGCGAGCGAACGGGGAGGAGCCCAGAGCCUGAAUCAGCAUGUGUGUUAGUGGAAGCGUCUGGAAAGGCGCGCGAUACAGGGUGACAGCCCCGUACACAAAAGCGCAUGUGCUGUGAGCUCGAUGAGUAGGGCGGGACACGUGGUAUCCUGUCUGAAUAUGGGGGGACCAUCCUCCAAGGCUAAAUACUCCUGACUGACCGAUAGUGAACCAGUACCGUGAGGGAAAGGCGAAAAGAACCCCGGCGAGGGGAGUGAAAAAGAACCUGAAACCGUGUACGUACAAGCAGUGGGAGCCCCACCACUAAGCCAGUGGUGAACUCCACAUACGCAUCCUUUGCUGAGGAUACGGUUAACGGAGCGAAAGCGACGUUCAACCUCAAAAGAAGCAGAGGGGGCUUAGUGGUGGGGUGACUGCGUACCUUUUGUAUAAUGGGUCAGCGACUUAUAUUCUGUAGCAAGGUUAACCGUAUAGGGGAGCCGUAGGGAAACCGAGUCUUAACCGGGCGUUAAGUUGCAGGGUAUAGACCCGAAACCCGGUGAUCUAGCCAUGGGCAGGUUGAAGGUUGGGUAACACUAACUGGAGGACCGAACCGACUAAUGUUGAAAAAUUAGCGGAUGACCUGUGGCUGGGGGUGAAAGGCCAAUCAAACCGGGAGAUAGCUGGUUCUCCCCGAAAGCUAUUUAGGUAGCGCCUCGUGAAUUCAUCUCCGGGGGUAGAGCACUGUUUCGGCUAGGGGGCCAUCCCGGCUUACCAACCCGAUGCAAACUGCGAAUACCGGAGAAUGUUAUCACGGGAGACACACGGCGGGUGCUAACGUCCGUCGUGAAGAGGGAAACAACCCAGACCGCCAGCUAAGGUCCCAAAGUCAUGGUUAAGUGGGAAACGAUGUGGGAAGGCCCAGACAGCCAGGAUGUUGGCUUAGAAGCAGCCAUCAUUUAAAGAAAGCGUAAUAGCUCACUGGUCGAGUCGGCCUGCGCGGAAGAUGUAACGGGGCUAAACCAUGCACCGAAGCUGCGGCAGCGAACGUAUCACUUAAAGCGAUUCAGCGGAUGACGAUUGACGGAGCGAAGCGACGUCAAAGCGUAUACAAAGUCGAGUCGGUUUAAGGAUACGUUCGUUGGGUAGGGGAGCGUUCUGUAAGCCUGUGAAGGUGGCCUGUGAGGGUUGCUGGAGGUAUCAGAAGUGCGAAUGCUGACAUAAGUAACGAUAAAGCGGGUGAAAAGCCCGCUCGCCGGAAGACCAAGGGUUCCUGUCCAACGUUAAUCGGGGCAGGGUGAGUCGACCCCUAAGGCGAGGCCGAAAGGCGUAGUCGAUGGGAAACGGGUUAAUAUUCCCGUACUUGGUGUUACUGCGAAGGGGGGACGGAGAAGGCUAUGUUGGCCGGGCGACGGUUGUCCCGGUUUAAGCGUGUAGGUGUGUGUUCCAGGUAAAUCCGGUUCACUUUAACACUGAGGCGUGACGACGAGGCACUACGGUGCUGAAGCAACAAAUGCCCUGCUUCCAGGAAAAGCCUCUAAGCAUCAGGUAACAUCAAAUCGUACCCCAAACCGACACAGGUGGUCAGGUAGAGAAUACCAAGGCGCUUGAGAGAACUCGGGUGAAGGAACUAGGCAAAAUGGUGCCGUAACUUCGGGAGAAGGCACGCUGACACGUAGGUGAAGUGAUUUACUCAUGGAGCUGAAGUCAGUCGAAGAUACCAGCUGGCUGCAACUGUUUAUUAAAAACACAGCACUGUGCAAACACGAAAGUGGACGUAUACGGUGUGACGCCUGCCCGGUGCCGGAAGGUUAAUUGAUGGGGUCAGCGCAAGCGAAGCUCCUGAUCGAAGCCCCGGUAAACGGCGGCCGUAACUAUAACGGUCCUAAGGUAGCGAAAUUCCUUGUCGGGUAAGUUCCGACCUGCACGAAUGGCGUAAUGAUGGCCAGGCUGUCUCCACCCGAGACUCAGUGAAAUUGAACUCGCUGUGAAGAUGCAGUGUACCCGCGGCAAGACGGAAAGACCCCGUGAACCUUUACUAUAGCUUGACACUGAACAUUGAGCCUUGAUGUGUAGGAUAGGUGGGAGGCUUUGAAGCGUGGACGCCAGUCUGCGUGGAGCCGACCUUGAAAUACCACCCUUUAAUGUUUGAUGUUCUAACGUGGACCCGUUACCCGGGUUGCGGACAGUGUCUGGUGGGUAGUUUGACUGGGGCGGUCUCCUCCUAAAGAGUAACGGAGGAGCACGAAGGUUGGCUAAUCCUGGUCGGACAUCAGGAGGUUAGUGCAAUGGCAUAAGCCAGCUUGACUGCGAGCGUGACGGCGCGAGCAGGUGCGAAAGCAGGUCAUAGUGAUCCGGUGGUUCUGAAUGGAAGGGCCAUCGCUCAACGGAUAAAAGGUACUCCGGGGAUAACAGGCUGAUACCGCCCAAGAGUUCAUAUCGACGGCGGUGUUUGGCACCUCGAUGUCGGCUCAUCACAUCCUGGGGCUGAAGUAGGUCCCAAGGGUAUGGCUGUUCGCCAUUUAAAGUGGUACGCGAGCUGGGUUUAGAACGUCGUGAGACAGUUCGGUCCCUAUCUGCCGUGGGCGCUGGAGAACUGAGGGGGGCUGCUCCUAGUACGAGAGGACCGGAGUGGACGCAUCACUGGUGUUCGGGUUGUCAUGCCAAUGGCACUGCCCGGUAGCUAAAUGCGGAAGAGAUAAGUGCUGAAAGCAUCUAAGCACGAAACUUGCCCCGAGAUGAGUUCUCCCUGAGACUUUAGGUCUCCUGAAGGAACGUUGAAGACGACGACGUUGAUAGGCCGGGUGUGUAAGCGCAGCGAUGCGUUGAGCUAACCGGUACUAAUGAACCGUGAGGCUUAACCUUACAACGCCGAAG